Molecule: ribosomal RNA, 483 nt
Filed under: uncultured bacterium
Lineage: Bacteria
Description: partial 16S ribosomal RNA
Rfam family: Bacterial small subunit ribosomal RNA
Source: RNAcentral
AUUGAACGCUGGCGGCAGGCCUAACACAUGCAAGUCGAGCGGAUGAAGGGAGCUUGCUCCUGGAUUCAGCGGCGGACGGGUGAGUAAUGCCUAGGAAUCUGCCUGGUAGUGGGGGAUAACGUCCGGAAACGGGCGCUAAUACCGCAUACGUCCUGAGGGAGAAAGUGGGGGAUCUUCGGACCUCACGCUAUCAGAUGAGCCUAGGUCGGAUUAGCUAGUUGGUGGGGUAAAGGCCUACCAAGGCGACGAUCCGUAACUGGUCUGAGAGGAUGAUCAGUCAAAAUGGAAAUGAAAAAGGGGCAAAAACCCCAGGGGGGGCAGAAGGGGGGAAUUUGGGAAAAUGGGGGAAAGCCGGACCCAGCCAUGCCGGGGGUGGGAAGAAGGUUUUCGGAUGGUAAAGAAUUUUAAGGGGGGAGGAAGGGGAGAAAGUUAAAACCUUGCUUUUUUGACUUGAAAAACAAAAUAAGCACCGGAAAACUUCGG